UACGGGGGGGGCAAGCGUUGUUCGGAAUUACUGGGCGUAAAGGGCUCGUAGGUGGCCAACUAAGUCAGACGUGAAAUCCCGAGGCUCAACCUCGGGUCUGCAGUCGAUACGGGCAAACUGGAGUGUUGCAGGGGAGACUGGAAUUCCUGGUGUAGCGGUGAAAUGCGCAGAUAUCAGGAGGAACACCGGUGGCGAAGGCGGGUCUCUGGGCAACAACUGACGCUGAGGAGCGAAAGCGUGGGGAGCAAACGGG
Molecule: ribosomal RNA, 253 nt
Filed under: uncultured bacterium
Lineage: Bacteria
Description: partial 16S ribosomal RNA
Rfam family: Bacterial small subunit ribosomal RNA
Source: RNAcentral